RNAcentral lists this unclassified non-coding RNA (258 nucleotides) under Hevea brasiliensis (rubber tree). The record is from RNAcentral. Lineage: Eukaryota; Viridiplantae; Streptophyta; Magnoliopsida; Malpighiales; Euphorbiaceae.
UUGCAACUACAUUACCGUUCUCUCCAUCCCAACCAUCUUCAAUGACUGAUGAAGAUAUUACUAAUCUUAGAAAUUUGCAACGUCUAUUACUGUUGAUAUCAGGACUCCAAGAAAAUGAGAACCCCAGCAUGAAGGUUAAUGGAGUUAGAACAUCCAACAAGCAGAUGAUAUUUUUAAACGGAGCACCUCUUCAGCAAUUUGAAGCUGUCCAAGAAUAUCUACCCCUCCUUUCAGUUUUACCUGAGCUUCCACAAGAGA